This 463-nucleotide ribosomal RNA is filed under the name uncultured bacterium. RNAcentral's name for it is "partial 16S ribosomal RNA". It matches the Rfam family "Bacterial small subunit ribosomal RNA", at positions 28 to 507 of the family's 1533-position model. The record is from RNAcentral.
GAUGAACGCUGACAGAAUGCUUAACACAUGCGAGUCUUUGGCGAAGCUGUGCUUGCACUGCCUAGCCAAGGCGGACGGGUGAGUAACGCGUAAGGAACUUGCCCUGCAGUCAGGGAUAACAGACGGAAACGACUGAUAAGACCUGGUAAAGUCAGGCGGACUCAUGUCCAGCCUGAUGAAAAGAGAUGCUGCAGGAGAGCCUUGCGUCCUAUUAGCUUGUUGGUGGGGUAACGGCCCACCAAGGCGAUGAUAGGUAGCCGGCCUGAGAGGGUGGACGGCCACAAGGGGACUGAGAUACGGCCCUUACUCCUACGGGAGGCAGCAGUGGGGAAUAUUGGACAAUGGGGGCAACCCUGAUCCAGCAAUUCUGUGUGCACGAUGAAGGUUUUCGGAUUGUAAAGUGCUUUCAGCAGGGAAGAAAAAAAUGACGGUACCUGCAGAAGAAGCGACGGCUAAAUACGUG